Molecule: non-coding RNA, 28 nt
Filed under: Homo sapiens (human)
Lineage: Eukaryota; Metazoa; Chordata; Mammalia; Primates; Hominidae
Source: RNAcentral
UUAAGGGUCUUUGCCGAGGCUGGGGAUG